UGGCGUCGAGCUAGGAAGACCAAGGAAACGUUGGAUUGUUGCUUCGGUGGGUGAUGGCUUCGCUGGGUGACCGUGAAGACGCGUGGCUGAAGACAACGGACAAAAGCAGCUAGUGGUGAAGAACGUCCGUGGAGAGGGGGCUUCGUUGGUGAAGGCGUGCAGCUGAGUUGAUGGAGAAACACGAGUUGCAGACGUUAAGACCGAAGCUGUUGAUGUCUUCAGUGGACUUGGACGCGUGGAGGUGCAAGUGCGGUUGUUUGGUGGUCUUCGUUUGGGAGGGCUUCACUGCUUCGUUGACUCAAAUUGCUGCUGGCAAGAGGCUGAUGAAAUCGUGAAGCUUCAGUGAGUGGAGAAUGGGUGUUGUUGGCGAAGGGGUUGGCUGCGGGCGAAGGAAAUGAAAGAAGGGGCAG
RNAcentral lists this long non-coding RNA (410 nucleotides) under Eucalyptus grandis. RNAcentral's name for it is "long non-coding RNA (EGRA_LNC007133)". The record is from RNAcentral. Lineage: Eukaryota; Viridiplantae; Streptophyta; Magnoliopsida; Myrtales; Myrtaceae.